Molecule: transfer RNA, 75 nt
Filed under: Flavobacteriia bacterium
Lineage: Bacteria; Pseudomonadati; Bacteroidota; Flavobacteriia
Description: tRNA-Val
Rfam family: tRNA
About the family: Transfer RNA (tRNA) molecules are approximately 80 nucleotides in length.
Source: RNAcentral
GGGAGAUUAGCUCAGCUGGUUUAGAGCAUCUGCCUUACAAGCAGAGGGUCGGGGGUUCGAAUCCCUCAUCUCCCA